UGGGGGAUUUUGCACAAUGGGCGCAAGCCUGAUGCAGCGACGCCGCGGGAGGGAUGAAGGCCUUCGGGUUGUAAACCCUUUUCGCUGGGUUGAAAAGCCAUGCUUUGGGUGUGGUUGAUUUGAACUGGUAAAGCAGUACCGGCUAACUACGUGCCAGCAGCCGCGGUAAUACGUAGGGUACUAGUGUGGUCCGGAUUUAUUGGGCGUGAAGGGCUUGUUGGUGGUUUGUCGCGUCUGUCUUGAAAUCCAGUGGCUUACUCAUGGGCUUGCGGUGGGAACGGACAAGCUUAAGUGCGGUGGGGGGGACUGGAAUUCCUGGUGGAGCGGGGGAAUUCGCAGAAAUCAGGAGGAAAACCGGUGGCGAAGGCGGGUCUCUGGGCCGGUACUGAAACCGAGGAGCAAAAGCGUGGGGGGCGAAGCGG
This 422-nucleotide ribosomal RNA is filed under the name Fusobacteriota bacterium. RNAcentral's name for it is "Fusobacteria bacterium partial 16S ribosomal RNA". It matches the Rfam family "Bacterial small subunit ribosomal RNA", at positions 355 to 776 of the family's 1533-position model. The record is from RNAcentral. Lineage: Bacteria; Fusobacteriati; Fusobacteriota.